This 579-nucleotide ribosomal RNA is filed under the name uncultured bacterium. RNAcentral describes it as "partial 16S ribosomal RNA". It matches the Rfam family "Bacterial small subunit ribosomal RNA", at positions 355 to 926 of the family's 1533-position model. The record is from RNAcentral.
UGGGGAAUUUUGGACAAUGGGGAAACCCUGAUCCAGCCAUCCCGCGUGUGCGAUGAAGGCCUUCGGGUUGUAAAGCACUUUUGGCAGGAAAGAAACGUCGCGGGUUAAUACCCCGCGGAACUGACGGUACCUGCAGAAUAAGCACCGGCUAACUACGUGCCAGCAGCCGCGGUAAUACGUAGGGUGCAAGCGUUAAUCGGAAUUACUGGGCGUAAAGCGUGCGCAGGCGGUUCGGAAAGAAAGAUGUGAAAUCCCAGAGCUUAACUUUGGAACUGCAUUUUUUAACUACCGGGCUAGAGUGUGUCAGAGGGAGGUGGAAUUCCGCGUGUAGCAGUGAAAUGCGUAGAUAUGCGGAGGAACACCGAUGGCGAAGGCAGCCUCCUGGGAUAACACUGACGCUCAUGCACGAAAGCGUGGGGAGCAAACAGGAUUAGAUACCCUGGUAGUCCACGCCCUAAACGAUGUCAAACUAGCUGUUGGGGUCUUCGGACCUUGGUAGCGCAGCUAACGCGUGAAGUUGACCGCCUGGGGAGUACGGUCGCAAGAUUAAAACUCAAAUGAAUUGACGGGGUCAUAGCU